Molecule: ribosomal RNA, 466 nt
Filed under: uncultured bacterium
Lineage: Bacteria
Description: bacterial SSU rRNA
Rfam family: Bacterial small subunit ribosomal RNA
Source: RNAcentral
CCAGACUCCUACGGGAGGCAGCAGUGAGGAAUAUUGGUCAAUGGGCGGAGGCCUGAACCAGCCAAGUCGCGUGAGGGAAGAAGGCCCUGCGGGUCGCAGACCUCUUUGGACGGGGAGCAAGGCCGCCGACGUGUCGGCGGAAGGAGAGUACCUGUAGAACAAGCAUCGGCUAACUCCGUGCCAGCAGCCGCGGUAAUACGGAGGAUGCGAGCGUUAUCCGGAAUCAUUGGGCGUAAAGCGUUCGUAGGCGGUAAAGUAAGUCAGAUGUUAAAGCCCGGGGCUCAACUCCGGUUCGGCAUUUGAUACUACUUGACUAGAAUGCGGUAGAGGUAAAGGGAAUUCCUGGUGUAGCGGUGAAAUGCGUAGAUAUCAGGAGGAACAUCGGUGGCGAAAGCGCUUUACUGGGCCGUUAUUGACGCUGAGGAACGAAAGCCAGGGUAGCAAACGGGAUUAGAUACCCCUGUAC